RNAcentral lists this transfer RNA (75 nucleotides) under Dinophyceae sp. TGD. RNAcentral's name for it is "tRNA-Ile". It matches the Rfam family "tRNA". Rfam says of the family: Transfer RNA (tRNA) molecules are approximately 80 nucleotides in length. Their secondary structure includes four short double-helical elements and three loops (D, anti-codon, and T loops). Further hydrogen bonds mediate the characteristic L-shaped molecular structure. tRNAs have two regions of fundamental functional importance: the anti-codon, which is responsible for specific mRNA codon recognition, and the 3' end, to which the tRNAs corresponding amino acid is attached (by aminoacyl-tRNA synthetases). tRNAs cope with the degeneracy of the genetic code in two manners: having more than one tRNA (with a specific anti-codon) for a particular amino acid; and 'wobble' base-pairing, i.e. permitting non-standard base-pairing at the 3rd anti-codon position. The record is from RNAcentral. Lineage: Eukaryota; Dinophyceae.
GGGCUAUUAGCUCAGAUUGGUUAGAGCACACCCUUGAUAAGGGUGGAGUCACUGGUUCAAGUCCAGUAUAGCCCA